Molecule: long non-coding RNA, 5619 nt
Organism: Betta splendens (Siamese fighting fish)
Lineage: Eukaryota; Metazoa; Chordata; Actinopteri; Anabantiformes; Osphronemidae
Exons: 2
Source: RefSeq, a predicted model, not a curated record
ACUGAAUAGGUAGGGGGGGGUUUGCGUCCGUCAUCCGCAUUUGAAGCAGCUUAAUUAGUGCCCAUUUAUCGCCCAUUAAAGCUAGAUAAUACCAGUAACCAGUAACAGCUGCUACAACAGACCACCAGUACUGUACUGGGGCAUUUCCAAUCUGCUGCCAGAAAAAAAAAAACUGGGAUCAGACAUUACAAACUAAAUUAAAGCCACAGCGAGUAAAGUGCUUAAUGACGUUGUAAAUGAUUAUGUUUUGGUUUCCGGGUCAUUUUGAAGGAGGCCACGUGCGCUGCGGUGGACGCGGUGUUCAGGAUCUGCGCCGCGGCGCAAGCACCAGCGUGCGCAGGCAGCGGAGGUGGGCUGUUACCCUCUGGUGGCCAAGUGGCGGGUGCAGCUGUUUAGUGCUUAGCGCAAGCAUGAGAUGAGAUGAUAGUGUGUGUGGAUCCUGCGUCCGCGGGUGCAGACGCCCCGUGCGGCGAGAACGUGGUCGCUCAUUAGCUGCACACUAAACCCUGCCAGAGAGAAAUGAAUGAGAUUUAAAGUGAAAGGAAAUGUUGCUCUUGUUGUCAAUCAUCAGUUUUUCAUCACUCAAACACAUAAUGUUGUUUUAUCGAUUUGAUGCUUUGUGUUGUGUCCCUUUUUACUGUAUAUAAAAUCAGAUAAAGUUAAGUUAAAAAAAUGUUUGCCAGGUUUGUGCUUUUUGGUCCAGAGCUAAAAGAUAAUGUCAGGUGUGUGUGUGUGUGUGUGUGCGCGUGUGCGUGUGUGUGUGUGUCCACAACCCCUAAGUGUCAUGUUUUAAAAAUGGCUGCAUGAGGAAAAAAACAGCAAAGCUCUCUUCAAAUGCCACCAAAUCUAUUUGUGUAACGUGCAGCGGGAAGAACAGAACAUCUCAGCUCAGAUGCCGUCAUUAGUGCGACUUGGGGUCGUAUCCGUGGUGAAGUAGGUCAGAGUCGGGUUAAGAGCAGAGACGGAUCCGGACGGGAGGCGCCGGGAGAGCGGAGGACGCGUGGACCGGCCACACCUGCACGCUGCAUGUCAGUCCAGCCACAUCCGCAUCUACACGGCUUUAAUACAGUUUUUGGAUGAUUUGCAAGUGUUGCUGGAGAUUUCAUCUUCUCAGUUUAUUUUCCCUCGUGCUUGCACCUCGAUAGUAGGUGAAGAUGUGCCAGGAAUUUCUACUUUGCGCGUACAAGGUUAGAAUUUCUCAGCCUUCACGCGGCUGGUGAUUCUACAGCGCUGUACGUUCAGCUUUGAGGUCAUCGCACUGUAGGUAAAUGAGUCACAUUUGAGUGCAUUACUCUAUGUUCUUAUUAUAAUCCUCUCAAUAGAAUACACUCAAGUAUUUCCAUCCCUGCCAAUAUAUAUAGUUCUGUAUAGAAAUUUCAGGAAAUAUAAUAUAAAGAGUAUAUAGAUUACAUUCUAAGCAUUUAAAGGCAGAAUUUAUGAGCUGCUGUGUUAGAUAGUGCAGCUGUUCCAAAUAAAGCGUCCAGUGAGUGUGGUACAGAAUAAACAGAUGUGAAGUGAUCUCAGAAUGUAGAAAAGUCUUGUCAGGAUCCCUCACGUCAGCAUGGUGAAAACUGCACAAGCGCUGGUUAAUUCUGUUUUCUGGUUAUAUUCACCAGCUGGAUGCAAACGUUAUUGUGCUUUCUACCGUCGUUUCCUCAUGACACGACAUGAAAACGCUAUUAAGCUGUCAUCCUGCUUUUUGCUUUUUUUUUUUUUUUUUUUUACUUUUCUGCACACCUCCACCGUCAACAGAACGCAUAAUCCCAUUAUGUUGGAAUGAAUGUGCUGAUGUGGCCACACAGUGAGAUGUGAAAACAUUAGGGAUCACCCCUCCACACACACACACACGCGCGCGCGCGCGCACACCUCUGGGUCGAAGCGUCAAACCAAUGAACGCGCCUGUUGCAGCCGAGUGCGGUGCAGAGGCUUCGCGUGAGCCCCACGUGGGCCCGACAUGCGCUCACGCGCCCGCACGCUCACCUCCCCGCCGCCUCGGGCUUGAUGUCGCCUCGUAGCUGUGGCGGGCUCGCGCUCGCGCUCUUCAUGGGUCGCGUUGAUGAGCGCGCCGUUGUGCUACGCAGACGCUCGUCUCGCAAUCAGAUGAAUUGCAGCUGUUUUUGAAAUUGACUGCUCCACACGUGAUGAGGCAACUUUCCUCCUCCACUAAUUGUUGCCUUGAAGGGCACUUGUGUCAAACACCGUGAUUACUGCAUUAGUGUGUAUGCAUACAUCCUGAUCCGAGUGGAUACCUCUGUCUGAGGCCGCUCCCCGGCAGAUGGAAGCUGUCAUUGCUCUCUUUCUCUCUGUCACUUCCUCCAUCUCUUCGCGUCCUCGUUCACACGUCCUCUCCCGCACAUGUCUCCGCGUGGCAUGUUUGCGUGCGUGCUCUCUCCCGCUCGCGCGUGCGGACCGCUUUGUGCUCCAGACACAGGUCGUCAUGCGUGUCCAAAGCGGCGGGCGGCUCGAGCUCACGUGGACGUGGACGUGAACGCAGCAUAGCAAACAUCUGUUGUGUAAGCCAUUAACACCCCGCCACGAGAGUGCGAAUGGAAAGGAAGAGGGAUUUGAGUGUCGCCGCGUAUCUGCUAAGAUGGCUGGAGACGCGCUGAACGGCGGCCGCGGGAACACUUCAAGUGUGCCGAGCUAACGAAGGUGCGUUCACGUGCGUUCACUGGCCGAGCGUGAGUUAGAAAAAAAAUAAAAGUACAGGUUGCAUGUUCCAGGUUUGGGUUGCAUAAGAAACACAACGAAAACACUUUCAGCAUCAUUAUUUAAGUCAUAUAUUUUCUUGAUAAUUACUAAACGAAUAGUAAGCAACAACAAAAAGCUGGGACUUCUCUAGUUUUCUGUAAGUUCUUAAACUUUGAGAUGACUAUUGUUGUGAAUUGUGAACAAAGUGAACUAAACGGCAUUUAUUACAUGUGUUCACACAAACGGCAACUGUUGGUAGAAUUAUACAGUGUGAUGAUCUUGCAGCAUAAGUGGUUUUGGGUAAUUCACAGCUCUUGUACAGCAGAAUGAUGAUACCGGCCGGGUUGUUAUAAAACUUAAUGUACUUGAGUUAAUUCUCCGUCUGUAUGGACUCGUUUUAAAAAGUCUACCAGCUUUUCCAUUUACUUUUAGUUCAUCUCAGAGGAGCUACUGUGUGUACACUGUGAUCAUACACUAGUAAUCUAAGGCUGAGUUAAACACGGAGUUCCAUGUAUUUCUAUGGACAGACAGUUAGGUUUGUAUUCAUGUAACAGUAUUACGAGCUGCCCCAUGUUCUGAGCAGUAUAAAGUAGAGCCAAGGACCUUUUGAGGCCUCAAUGCUGAUACUGGAAGCUUACACCAUGGUGUAAUGUUGGUCCUUACUAUCAUUUUAUUUAGCUAAACGUGUCUGCUGGUGUUUGAUAUCUAGUUCAAAAACGUCAGCCAAUCCUAAACGGUCUGCGGCCGCUCACACGCUUCACGGACCUGAGUUUAUUGAAGUGGAGAAGCCUUUUCUGUCGAUCCAACUUUUCUGUGUCCAACCUUUCAUUGGAAGAUGAUGAAUAAUGAAUGAAUGGCUCAUUCGUUAAAGCAUAAUUGCUGAUGUCAGCACAGAUUCGGAGUUAUUCCGCGCCGCGCGCCACCUGCAGAGACGUGCGUCGCGUGACCGCGGCGUGUUGUCGCGCUUCUUGCGGUCGCAGACCUUUCUGAUUCCUCAGCUCGUGCUCACGGCUGGAUGGUUCUGAACACAAGCGUCAGGAGCAAACGCCGUGGCGUGUGUAACAGAUGACCUUUCCGGGCUUUCAUUUAAUUUGAUUUACUGUAUUAUUUCGUCGGAAAUGUCACACGGAAUAACGGCCGCUUGUGCGCCGCUUCGUACUGCGUGGCGCGUGCUCUGUGUAAGCAGUCAGGCGAGAUGAAAGAGUCCUUAGUUUAAGCUGAUCCACCCGUCACAUGUGCCCACGUCUGCACCUCUGAUGUCGUCAUUUGCCAUGGUAACCAAACAGCAUGUCAUAGAAAUCUGACAUAUUCACUACAUCUCAUCCGCCGAAAAUCUAGAGCAUGAGACUGAAAAAGCUGAUGUGUUACUAUGGCAACGUCAUUUGGAUGAACAUUUCAGUGGCAGCUGAGCAACUUCAUAGGGAUAAGGUCUUUAUUUUUUCAUCGCAUGACGUUUAUGGAGAACAGCGAUGUAAACAGGUCAGAGGACAUUGAAUGGCCUUUCUGUCCAUUUCCUGGUCUUAACACCGAAUAAAGUUAUUAUUCAGAACGUUAGUAUCUGCUUUAAAAGCUGCUUUAAAUCUGCUGAAGUGUGGAAGGGUGAUUGGGUGAAGUAUAGUCUUUAAGCUUUUAUCUACUGGUGCUGGGGGUUUAGUCCUAAAAAGUGAGCUUGGGCGCUUAUUUGCGAAUCAGGGUUUGCUCAUCACUAACGACUGAGGAAAUUCAACUCAGCGGAGUGGACUUGAUGGAUGUGCCUCCCACCGUUUCACCCAAAGAGUCGUCCUGUCUGAAGGCAAGACUCCUACGACUGCUUCACAUAACAAGAGGCAUUACCUGCAUCGUCUGGUGCCCACUCAGUGGUCUGUACGACUAAAUGGAGCUCUCUGACAGUCCAGCGAGGGGGAAAUACUUCACCUUAAAUAUUUUCUUGGUAAUACUCCCUCGAAGCUUCGCCUCGUGGCUCCUAUUCAUUUUCAUUUACCUCUGCUCUCUUGUCAGAGUACAGUUCAGGAGGCAGCUCCCUCCUGGAUAACGGCAUCACAUCAAAUACACUUAAAACUACAACCGCUCCAGUCACAAGCACAGGGCCUUAGAAAUCGAGGCGACAGGAAGUCUGUGGUGACGGUUCAGCACUAUUUCAGUCCCUCGCUCCGUUCGUUACACAACGUAUACAAUCAGGCAGAGACACAUGGGACGCUGUCACCGCCGUCACCGGCUCGGCUGAGGAGCAAACGAGGAACAGCUGCGCCGCGAGUCGGCCGACGACGGGCGCAGUCGGGUGGAUCUGCCGCGGACAGGUGUGGAGCGACGCGACGGGCCCCAGAUGCAGCGAGAAAAAGAGGGGCCGACGGAGGACUGACACUCGUCUAUGUAACACAGCGGCACUUGAAAAUGAUACAGUAGAGGAGGCCCACCCGCUUGUUAUCAGCCAUAACGAAUGGGCUGAUCAGAACUUAUCAGCCCAUUCGUACGGGCCAGUAGGUGCCUGCUCUGCCUACUCGCUAACAGCUAGCAGCUAGCUAAGUUGCUACGUUCAGCAGCUUUAGAGGUUAUUGUGGUUAGGGUUAGGGCUGGAUAACGAGUGGGGGGUUCAGGUUACGGUUAGCUAACACAAUACCGCUAGCUAUUUGCAAAGUUAUGCUCGCUAAUAAAUCAAAAUCACAAACUUCGAUCCUCCCGUCUGAACAACAACCGCUCAACAGCGCCCCUACUGACUCUGCUGGUUAAAUCAUCCGAGCCGUGAUCAAUCUUAUGGACGACGACCUACUGCACCUAUUUACCGCUGCCAGUAGGUAGGUGGGACCUACCGGCCCAUACGUACAGUAUGGGCUGAUAACCACUCAUAAUGACCAUUGAAUGGCGUGAUAACUUCAAAAAGUGAGCUGUAAUAAACUCUGGGAGCUGAGUAAAAUAGUAACUCAAAGAGAA